RNA transcript from Cornus florida, 2015 nucleotides. It is a transcript of the gene named transcription factor BOA-like, with no coding region annotated. Lineage: Eukaryota; Viridiplantae; Streptophyta; Magnoliopsida; Cornales; Cornaceae. The record is from RefSeq and is a predicted model, not a curated record. The transcript has 4 exons.
UUCCAAACCGAACCACACGUCUUCCUACGAAUCUCUCUCUCUAAAAUAUCUCCACCCAAAUUAUAUAAGUCUUCUCUCUCCCUCUCUCUACAUAUACAUCUACCUAUAUAUAUAUGUAUAUAUCUAUUCACAGUUUGCUCCGAGUUUUGAUUAAAACCCUAUUCCCAAAUCUGCUGUUGAAAGUUACCAUAGACGUAUAUAAACAUGAAUUUAUAAAAUCUGGAAAUCCUAAAAUUGUGAAUUGAAGAUGGGGGAAGAAGUGGGGAUGAGUGAAUACCAAAGCAGCGGUGAUUGUGGCGGUGGCGAAGACCGAGUGUCAGAGUGGGAAUUUGGAUUGCCCAGCGCCGAUGAUCUCACGCCGCUGUCUCAGCCGUUGAUCCCGCCGGAGCUGGCGUCGGCGUUCAGUAUUAUGCCGGAGCCUUGUCGGAGCAUGGGCGACGUGAAUCGAGCGUCGCAGACCACGUUUUCGAGUCUCCGAGGGCAGAGUCAGGGGCUGUCCUCAUCUACCCAUUUCAAUUUCAAGUCGUUCAACGACGAUGGAGUUAGAGACCCCAUGGCUGUGGAAGGAGACGAAACGGAUCUGACGAGGGACGGUUCGGAUUCGAGGAAGUUGCGGAGGAUCGAUAGCGGCACGGAGGAGGUGGAUUCGGCGCUGCGAUCGGAGAAUGGCAACGACGAUACGUCGGCGAGGGCAUUGAAGCGGCCGAGAUUGGUGUGGACGCCUCAAUUGCACAAGCGAUUCGUUGACGUUGUGGCGCAUUUGGGUAUCAAGAACGCUGUGCCCAAGACGAUCAUGCAGUUGAUGAAUGUUGAAGGCUUGACUCGCGAGAACGUAGCCAGUCAUCUGCAGAAGUACAGGUUGUAUCUGAAGAGGAUGCAGGGGUUGUCUAGCGACGGUCCCUCGCCUUCGGAUCACCUUUUUGCUUCGACCCCGGUGCCCCAGAGCUUACAUGAGUCAGGAGGUGGUGGACAUGGACACAAUAAUGGGCAAGUGCUGAUGCCCGUUCCAAUGCCUUUUGUACCGCAGAUGAUCCCUGUGCCAAUGCUCGGGAUGGCCCAUGGUCACGGCCAAAUGGGGAUGUCGGCUGCCCCUGUUCCUUAUCAUGGGUUUGAGUCGAAUUCGUACCAUAUGGUGCAGCACAGAGACUGGUCAGGCAAUAAUUUCAGCCGUCACCAUGUUACACCUAGUGAAAAAUAACAUUAUCACCAAUUAAAGAGGUCUUCCCUUAUGUUCACAUAUUCCCAGUCUUAAUGGGUUUCAUGAUGAUUAGAGGUGCUUGCAAGUUUUAUAAGAAGUUUACAGGUGAAAUAGAUGAAGGGGACAAAAAGAAGAAGGAAUUAUUGAUGUAUAAAAAGAUUCAGCAUAACUGCAUAAUUGGUAAUCCUGGGCCUGCCAGUCAUGGGAGAAGUUCUCAAGAAAUCAGCAGAGAUGCGUUGAGGUGUGCUUAAUUAUGGUUCGGGGGAUUCUAUAUGAAUCAGGCAAAGAAUAAAGGUGAAUUAUUUCCAUUUAUGUCUUUCUGUCGUUACAUUGAACUGGAAGGAGGUGGCUGGUGUAUUUUAUCUUGUCUACCUAGAGGAUUGCAAGUCACUUAGUACAUUCUCAAUCAAUUUUCAAUCAGUGUGUUAAUGACUGUAUUAAACCUUGUUUUUCAGCAAGAAAGAAAAAGUGGAUGCAAGUUGUCAAGCACAUUCUUGACCUGUUCUUUAACAUAAACGUUUUAUUCUGUUCAUUAUUAAUGAAAAUAUUGAAUUUCUUUUCUUUCAGCAACAAAGUGAAAGCCAAUGAGAAAACUGAGCAAAAAUCAGGCAGCACUCCUUGGCUGCUGGGCAUUCCUUGUUGUAAUCUCCCCUUUCGGUAUCCUGUCUUGUAUAAAUAUAUUCCUUUUUCAUAAGCUUGAUGAUAAUUUAUUGCAACUUUGGUUGCAUUUACCACUGAUCCCUUCAAUAUUUGCUUCUUUGUACUCCUUUGUAUGAUGCUGUUUCAUAAUUAUAUCGUUUUGAUAUUUAUUGUCUUA